GUGGGACUGUGGUUUCCUGAACAAUGGUGAUGUCACCAGAUACCCGGCGCAGCUGGGAGAGUGUGGAUUGAGGAAUCCAGCCACUAUCAGGUUAAGAUCAUCCCAGUUCCUCAUUUGGAGUUUUGCGGUACAUCGCAACCUGGUUGAACUAGAAGUGUGGAACUGAGAGCCGUUGUAGUGGGCUGUCUUCUUCGGGUGUCUUACCGUUCUGUCUUACCAGGGCUGUUUUACCGGGCUGCUGUCUUACCAGGGCUGUCUUAUCGGGCUGUCUUCUUGCUGGGCUACUUUUUGGUUGCUUGGCUGUCUAGCUGUUUGCUUCACUGCCUGGCUGUUUUGUGGUCUGUGGGUUGCUAAAGCACGGAUGGAGCGACAUAUUGCAUCGGCGUGCAUGCUAUCUACGUACCGAGCAUCAGCAUGGGAUGCAUUUCCUGGCCAUACCGUGCUAUAGCUAACGGCUUACUGGAUUAGCCACGGAGCUAAGUGCUAGUGCUUUUGCGGACUGUGUGCUUUGUUUAUAUACAUGUAUGUGUUAGUGUGUCUGUUUCAGUGCUCCACACUGAGAGGUCUGCUGAGAGGUGGCCUGAGAAACUGCUGCUAUACAUAUCUGUUUAUCUGAGGAGUUUGAAGACCUGGAUGCUACCCAACAGUUAGUGGAAUGCUAAGAGGUCAUGUGCUUAUUUGAUGCGGUAUAUUGAAUGGAAUUGACUGUUUUUAUUAUUCCUGUUGUACUUCUUUUGCUUUUUGUCCUUGUUAUUGUACUUUCGUGUGUGUGUGUUUGUGUAAGUAAAUUGAUUUGACCAUACUGUGGUUUGCUUCUUCUCCAGGUGUCUGGGAGACCAGUUCUAGUGUGAGGGACAAGUUCCUCUCUGCUUGGUGGUGGUUUCCUUCGGUGUGCAGUGGUCGACAGGUGGGGUUGUGGUGUCGUACGAGUGCAUGUGUGUUUGCUGUGGAUAGGAGAUCAUUAGAAUAAGGUCCCCAGCCCUGGAGUCCAGGCAUUCUUGUGUGGUAUAAUCUGUAUGGUGUGAUGUAAUUUUAGUUCUUAAUAAACUGUGUGUAUUAUA
Silurus meridionalis is the source of this 1061-nucleotide long non-coding RNA. RefSeq lists it as uncharacterized. The record is from RefSeq and is a predicted model, not a curated record. Lineage: Eukaryota; Metazoa; Chordata; Actinopteri; Siluriformes; Siluridae. The transcript has 3 exons.